This is a long non-coding RNA of Leptopilina boulardi, 484 nucleotides long. RefSeq lists it as uncharacterized. The transcript has 4 exons. The record is from RefSeq and is a predicted model, not a curated record. NCBI's taxonomy places the organism in Eukaryota, Metazoa, Arthropoda, Insecta, Hymenoptera, Figitidae.
CAUUUUUGGUCGCGUCCUUUUUAUUGCCAGUUAAAAUCAGUGUUUUAUGAAAGUUAGAAGGUGUUUUUUAUAAUUAGUAAUACAAUAAUCGUAAAAUAUAAUAAUCAGUUUAUCAGCAUAAAUGAAAGCAUCACUGAAUUUUACCGGAAAAAUCGUUUAUUUCUUUUGGAAAAAAUUUUCUAUCAGAUUGGUGGUUAUGUUGUUUGAAAAGAAAAUAACGAUUCUAAGUUUGUUUACAAUUCGAACAAAUGACUGUCAUGAUAAAAACAACUCCGAUGUUUCUUGCGACGACAAUUUGGACUCAUUUCAUAUAUGAACGCAGCUAUUUUUAUUUUAUUCGGAGGAUUGAAUAAGGUACUUGGACCAGGAGACGAAAAAUUUAUCUGUUUGGAGAGAGUAAAAGAGAAAGAGGAUAUGCUGUCAUCGUAUUUCUGCCACGAGACAUGGAAAUCCGUAGUGAUUCUAUCCUGGAUGGCUGGCGGUG